CGCGGCCUAUCAGCUUGUUGGUGAGGUAACGGCUCACCAAGGCGACGACGGGUAGGGGGUGUGAGAGCAUGGCCCCCGUCACUGGCACUGAGACACUGGCCAGACUCCUGCGGGAGGCUGCAGUCGAGAAUCUUCGGCAAUGGGCGAAGGCCUGACCGAGCGACGCCGCGUGGAGGAUGAAGGCCCUCGGGUUGUAAACUCCUGUUGGGGGGGAUCAAUUUUGAGAAAACCCCUGAGGAAGCACGGGCUAAGUUCGUGCCAGCAGCCGCGGUAAGACGAACCGUGCGAACGUUAUUCGGAAUCACUGGGCUUAAAGAGCACGUAGGCGGCGUCGUAAGUCGGAUGUGAAAUCCCAUCGGCUCAACCGUGGAACUGCAUUCGAUACUGCGAUGCUUGAGGGAGGUAGGGGCACGUGGAACUUCCAGUGGAGCGGUGAAAUGCGUUGAGAUUGGAAGGAACGCCGGUGGCGAAAGCGACGUGCUGGACCUCUUCUGACGCUGAGGCGCGAAAGCCAGGGGAGCAAACGGGAUUAGAUACCCCGGUAGUCCUGGCCCUAAACGAUGGGCACUAGGUUGUGGACUUGACAUGGGUUCACAGCCGAAGCAAAAGUGGUAAGUGCCCCGCCUGGGGAGUACGG
This 637-nucleotide ribosomal RNA is filed under the name uncultured bacterium. RNAcentral's name for it is "bacterial SSU rRNA". It matches the Rfam family "Bacterial small subunit ribosomal RNA", at positions 232 to 885 of the family's 1533-position model. The record is from RNAcentral.